AGCCAAAGUUUCAACACAAGCUUCAUAUCACAUUAAAAAUGUUCAGAACGAGAUCUUAAGGUGUACAGCCUUGUGAGCGAAGUGAAGGACAGUUGACAGAUUGUGUGUGGUGCCCCAGCAGUUCAACAAAGGAACAGUUCCAAAUGCAGUUUACAGCCAAGUGAUCUAGUAAUGUGAUCUAAAUUAUGAGAACUAUGACUAAGAGACAUCUGAGAAAUAAAAAGUACCUAUAAUCAGAAUUGUAGCAAGCUUGUACCAUAUUUCUCUUUUUAAGGCAAGUGGUUCUUUCCAAUGUUACAUUUAACUACUUUAAUUUAAUUCAUUUCUUUUCAUGUAUGUUAAAUAAGAACCAGUUUCUUACUACAGACCUAUCAAAGCAAGUAUAUUUUUUUUCUAUGUAUUUGUAUAUUUUAAUUGCAUUUUUCUUUUUUUUUUUUUUUUAUUGCAUGCUAAUUGAAAAUGUUUUAAAUAUUUUCCUAACAAUUUAAGAAUAUUUGUUUUCUGUUAUCUCUUAGCCUUAUGGUAAUUAGUUUCAAAUGUAUACAUAACAACUUUAAUAAAUUUUCUUCACUUUAACAUUUAAAGAGCUAGAUCCAAUUGGGGAUUAUCUCAUUAUGAAGCUUAGUCAAAAUCCCAGUAUCUCCACUAAGACUUUUGAAUAGCAAUUUUUUAUUAGAUGCCAUUUAUUUGUUUAAAUGCUCAGCUACUUGAUAUCUGGUUGAAUUCAAAUGAUAAUAAUUGCAUCUUAAUGUGUAAUUAUACAAUUAUUUAUUUACCUUGUAGUUGUUUUUUUAAUCAGUUCAAGACGUUGAGUAUUGAUUACUAAUCAACUACUAGCCUGGAAGAUAAAAGCCAAAGCUGUAAACAGACAGGUCAGGUAAAUAUAUGAAUGAAGAAAUUAAAUCUAGAAGUAAACAUCAUGGGAAGUCUAAUUAUAGGGCAAGUAUUUUUCCUUCAUAUCUUAUUUAACAUAGUCAAACCAUGCAAUACUUAUAGGCUUAACUAUUGUUUUCAUAGAAACAAUGUUAUUUUAAAUAUCAUGAGAUAGUGUAUUUAAGAGAUAUUGUAGUUCAAGUUUCCAUAUUUAAUCAGCUUAACAAGUGCACAUUCUCUGCUGCCAACAGUACCAAUUUGUCAUCCAAGCAACAAAUAUUCCUUGGUAAUCUGCUAUCAGAUGACAGUUAUCUCUUUGGCAUUUUUAUGAAGCUUUCAAAGCCAAACUUCAGAUUUGCUUAGCAUAUUCCUGUACUACAUAUCAACAAAUGUUUGAUGGUUUGUCUGGUUCAUCUCUUAACACUAUGAAGAUGGCUACACUAAUCUUAACAAGAAAACAUUCUGUUGCCAACAGUACCAAUUUGUCAUCCUAUCCAAGCAACUACUAUUCCUUGGUAAUCUGCUAUCAGAUGAUUACAGUUUUCUCUUUGGCAUUUGUAUGAAUUAAAGCUUUCAAAGCCAAACCUUAGAUUUGGUUAGCAUAACCCUGAACUGCAUAUCAACAAAUGUCUAAUGGUCUGUCUGGUUCAUUUCUCAAGACUAUGAAGAUGGCUACACAGGUAUCAGCUAUCAGCAGUGCACCCCUAUGAUACACAAGUCUUCAUUGCCAAGUCACUCUGCCAAACAGUGUGUACACCUUUCUUGCAUUGGUAGUGACCCACUUUACUGUCAUGAGUCUGGAUAUGUCAGGCCAAGGAGAUCAAGUUUGUGUCCAAGGUUACUUAGUUAAUUCUCUAAGAACAAUAGACAGACUCUACAUGCUACUGAUCUGGAGGUUAGUGGCUCAAUCAUUGUGCACUGAUUCUUCACUGAUGCCUUGAUUCCCCACUGUCAACUUUAUUGUCAUAAAGUUUAUCUAGUGAUCUACAUAUCAAGACUAAAUGGUCAAUUAAACAUGAGGUCAAGGAAAAAGGAUGAACAUUUCAAGGCUACUGAAGGAACAUUAAACGUCUCUCUCACUGUGAAAAGAUUCUACCGAUCUACAAAUGAUCAACAUGUUUUAUCUUAAGUUCGUCUGCCAUUUCUUCAAAUGGAGCCAUAUUAAGAAUAAGAUUCUUUUUGUUCUUCCUUAGGUUCAAAUGUAUCAGUUGUUUUUGUUGACAGAUAUCAAGUUUAGUUGCCUACCAGCAGUUUGGUGCUACAAGUCAACAACAGUCAGACUAAAUUAAAUAAAGCCAUGUCUAUUUCUACAUGAUUUUGUUGCUACUAACCUGGUGUUACUAACAACUAACUUGAAAAGGGAGAGGGGAAUUAUCAUCUUAUUCAUGUACUAUUUACAUUAGAUUUUUACCAAAUUAUUAAAUUUUUACUACCCUUACUAUUUUAACUGUGAAUAGACCUUGAUUUUAAUGAUUUAACUGUAUAGAAUUUAGCCCCUGUUAUGUAGAGAGAGAGAGUAGUCCUUAAGGGACUGCAGGCACGACAUGGCCUAAAUUGUGCAGAUGUGCAUAAAAUCAAAGAAAUAAAACAUUAACAAAAUGUGUAUUAUAAUUGUCACUUUUCCUCUACUUAGAAUUUUUUUCUCUCCUAGAUUUUCAUAAUUUUUUGUUGAAGUCAUUUCAGUUCUCAAUUAUUUUGUGCACCAAGUUACAAGAAAAAAUUUAAGCAAGAGAGGUCACUACACUAAGACUUUGUCUUCUCAUAAGAAAGGAUGGCUGCCUGGUCAUGUGAUAUGUGCACUGGACUGUGUAUGGUCAUCUUGAUGCUCAUAUCUUGCCUGAUGACAUUUAUUCUGCUGAACAUUUGGUCAAGGAAGUAGAUUCUCUUCAGCUCUCAAGAAACAUUCAAAACAUGUCAAACAUUCGACAAGAAUAUCAAGUGCAAUGUACAUACCAACAUGAUGAAAAUGUAGACAACAUGAAGAUGUAGACCAACAUGAUGAAGAUGUAGACCAACAUGAAGAGGUAGACCAGCAUGAUGAAGAUGUAGACCAACAUGAUGAAGAUGUAGACCAACAUGAAGAUGAAAUGUAAACCAAAAAAUGGGUCAAGAGAUGUAUGGAAUACAAUGUGAACAUCUUGAGAAGUAAAACAAUUCCUAGAGGCAAAGACACAGACACACCGGAUCUAUUAGAGAUUUUCCUUUUCUACCAUCAUUUAGAGACUUCCUUGUGCUCUAAGGGAACCUGUCAUUAUCUUUUGAUUGCUAAUUGGCAUUGAUGUUUUUACAUUCCUACUGCGUCUGAAAGAAAUUAACAUUUCCCUAAUGCUACUUGAAAACCAGACCUUCUCAAGACAAUUUUAGUGACCAAGCUGCAAUAUGGGACUCAGUAGGAAACAAUGAAGAAUGCUCCUAACCUCAGGUUGAGUAACCAUGCUCACCUACUAGAGUGGCGACAAAUACUUCUACACCCACAGUUAUACAUCCUGAACCCUGUAACCCAACCUCACAACAUGGUUACAUUACCGGAAGUGGUCGCAAGGUCAGAAAACCUAACAGAUACAAUGGAUAGAACAAUGAACAGGUAAAAGUACUCAAGUGAUGUACUUUGUGAGAACUAUUUAGGUGGAAUCACCAUAAUUGACUUGUAUAAAUCUUGUUCUAUAUUUAGGUAUAUCUUGACAAUCAGUCCAGUCAUUUGUUCAUUUUUUUUUAAAUAUUCCUUUUUUUUUCCCUCAAUCUUCUUGUUGUUUCAGUUACAUGUUUUUGUAUUUUGAAGGAGGAAGGUGCUUUGGUAUAUUAUCGUUAUUAUUAUUGUACCAGUAUUAAGCAAACUUUUAUAUCUUUAAUUAUUCAUGAAUUCUAAAGCAGAACGUCACUUCCACCGGAAAAUGUUGUAACAACUAUACGUGUCUUCAGUUAACAUUCAAUACUCUGUACAGUCACAACGCCAAAGCCUUGCUAGAUUAUGCUUUUAAUUCAAUUUGUUAUCUCCCCUGCUUUAGUGUGCUAUCAUAUAAUUUUUUGUGUCACAUCCCUGCACAAUUUGUUCUAUGCUUUUUUACAGUAUAAAUAGCGACUUGACAUUAUUUAGCUCUAUUAUAAUAUUGUUAUAUUAUUAUAUUUAAAAUAAAACUGUUAACAUAUUCUAUGCUGUUAUAAUAUAAAUGUUUUGCUGUUACCAUGAA
This is a long non-coding RNA of Biomphalaria glabrata, 4061 nucleotides long. RefSeq lists it as uncharacterized. The transcript is spliced from 12 exons. The record is from RefSeq and is a predicted model, not a curated record. Lineage: Eukaryota; Metazoa; Mollusca; Gastropoda; Planorbidae.